CUGCUGCCUCCCGUAGGAGUUUGGGCCGUGUCUCAGUCCCAAUGUGGCCGUCCGCCCUCUCAGGCCGGCUACUGAUCGUCGCCUUGGUGGGCCGUUACCCCGCCAACCAGCUAAUCAGACGCGGGUCCAUCCCGUACCACCGGAGUUUUCAAGAAAGGAACAUGCGUCCCCUUCUGUUAUGCGGUAUUAGCACCUGUUUCCAGGUGUUAUCCCCCGGUACGGGGCAGGUUCCCCACGCGUUACUCACCCGUCCGCCACUAAGGCCCGCGCCUUCCGGGUCUGGUAAACCA
Molecule: ribosomal RNA, 290 nt
Filed under: uncultured bacterium
Lineage: Bacteria
Description: partial 16S ribosomal RNA
Source: RNAcentral